Long non-coding RNA from Pungitius pungitius (ninespine stickleback), 744 nucleotides. RefSeq lists it as uncharacterized. The transcript has 7 exons. The record is from RefSeq and is a predicted model, not a curated record. NCBI's taxonomy places the organism in Eukaryota, Metazoa, Chordata, Actinopteri, Perciformes, Gasterosteidae.
GUCUUGGAACAUUCACACACCCACCUGCCUCUGAACCGUCAGCUCAGGUAAGCACAGGUCAAGUGGAGCAAGUUGUGUUGAAGAUGGGGCACCUCACUGUUGUGGCUGUCAUCGGAGUUCUCUUCAGCCUUUUCAUGGAAGCUGAAGCGAAUCCAUUUGUUUACAGCUAUGAAAGGCUACGAAUUGGAGGCUUGAUCUUUUCCGGCUUUUGUUUUUUCGGAGGAAUCGCCUUUUUAUUUCACAACAAGUGCUCCACGAGGAACAAAAAAUCGGAGAAUGACAGUGAAAUCUGAGACGGCGCCUGACAGACCGGUUUCGGGCCCGGGAGGAUCUGACAGGACAAUGAUGAUUUGGGCGUGUUUUUCGGGGGGUUAGGAGGAAACACACCAGCUCAAAAGUUCAAUUCUGCAAAGACCUGGGCAAAGAUGUGCUACUUAUGCAAGGUUCAAAAGCAUGUAUCCAUUUCUCAAAUGUGUACCAAUAAGUAAAUUAUAGAGUCAUUUAUACAUCCCUGGAUUCAUGUUUAUCCCUGGGGGCACUUCUUGACAUGAUUAGUCUGUUUUAAAGGGAAUUUAGCCAUAAGCAUGAUGUUCUAUAUUGUUGCUGGAAAAUGCAGUAUUAGGAACAUGAUAUAGUGUUGUUGUUAAUAAACUAGUUAAUCAACCAUUUCGAUAUUCAUAGGAUUAACUGAAAACAUAGAAACCCUUGUUGUCCACACCCAAAGUGAAAAUAAAUGACACUACA